UACGGGGGGGGCAAGCGUUGUCCGGAAUUACUGGGCGUAAAGGGCUCGUAGGUGGCCAACUAAGUCAGACGUGAAAUCCCUCGGCUUAACCGGGGAACUGCGUCUGAUACUGGAUGGCUUGAGUUUGGGAGAGGGACGCGGAAUUCCAGGUGUAGCGGUGAAAUGCGUAGAUAUCUGGAGGAACACCGGUGGCGAAGGCGGCGUCCUGGACCAACACUGACACUGAUGAGCGAAAGCCAGGGGAGCAAACGGG
Molecule: ribosomal RNA, 253 nt
Filed under: uncultured bacterium
Lineage: Bacteria
Description: partial 16S ribosomal RNA
Rfam family: Bacterial small subunit ribosomal RNA
Source: RNAcentral